UACGGGGGGGGCAAGCGUUGUUCGGAAUUACUGGGCGUAAAGGGCUCGUAGGCGGCCAACUAAGUCAGACGUGAAAUCCCUCGGCUUAACCGGGGAACUGCAUCUGAUACUGGAUGGCUUGAGUUCGGGAGAGGGAUGCGGAAUUCCAGGUGUAGCGGUGAAAUGCGUAGAUAUCUGGAGGAAUACCGGUGGCGAAGGCGGCAUCCUGGACCAUAACUGACGCUGAGGCGCGAAAGCUAGGGGAGCAAACGGG
This 253-nucleotide ribosomal RNA is filed under the name uncultured bacterium. RNAcentral's name for it is "partial 16S ribosomal RNA". It matches the Rfam family "Bacterial small subunit ribosomal RNA", at positions 524 to 776 of the family's 1533-position model. The record is from RNAcentral.